AGGACGAACGCUGGCGGCGUGCUUCACACAUGCAAGUCGAACGGGGCUCAUCCGGUGGUAACACUGGAGAAGGCCUAGUGGCGAACGGGUGAGUAACACGUGAGGAACCUGCCCCGAAGACCGGGAUAACAGCGGGAAACCGCUGCUAAUACCGGAUGCCCCCACCGGGCCGCAUGACCUGGUGAGGAAAUGGGCUUCCGCUUCGGGAGGGUCUCGCGGCCUAUCAGCUUGUUGGUGGGGUAACGCCCACCAAGGCUACGACGGGUAGCUGGUCUGAGAGGACGACCAGCCACACUGGGACUGAGACACGGCCCAGACUCCUACGGGAGGCAGCAGUGGGGAAUCUUGCGCAAUGGGCGAAAGCCUGACGCAGCAACGCCGCGUGAGGAUGAAUGCCUUCGGGUUGUAAACCUCUUUCAAGCAGGGACGAUAGUGACGGUACCUGCAGAAGAAGCUCCGGCCAACUACGCGCCAGCAGCCGCGGU
Molecule: ribosomal RNA, 485 nt
Filed under: uncultured bacterium
Lineage: Bacteria
Description: SSU rRNA
Rfam family: Bacterial small subunit ribosomal RNA
Source: RNAcentral